UCUCGACAGGGCGAGACUAAAGAGACCAUUAAGCCCUGAGCGGUCUGCGGAUUUUGCGGACGUUGGU
RNAcentral lists this ribozyme (67 nucleotides) under unclassified sequences. RNAcentral's name for it is "pistol ribozyme". It matches the Rfam family "Pistol ribozyme". The record is from RNAcentral.